This 455-nucleotide transfer RNA is filed under the name uncultured Flavobacteriaceae bacterium. RNAcentral's name for it is "16S-23S ribosomal RNA intergenic spacer". The stretch from base 77 to 150 matches the Rfam family "tRNA". Lineage: Bacteria; Pseudomonadati; Bacteroidota; Flavobacteriia; Flavobacteriales; Flavobacteriaceae. The record is from RNAcentral.
AGAGAAAGUAUGACGACUGAAUUUAGAACUGUUGAGGUAUGCGUUUUGCUAAGUGCUGUCAUUUUAAUUAUCAUUGAGUCUCGUAGCUCAACUGGUUAGAGCGCUACACUGAUAAUGUAGAGGUCGGCAGUUCGAGUCUGCCCGAGACUACAAUACGAUCUUGGGAAUUUAGAGUUGGGAAAUUCAUCCAUACUGAAUUCUUUUUUCAGAAUGGGGAAUUAGCUCAGCUGGCUAGAGCACUUGAUUUGCAUUCAAGAGGUCGUGGGUUUGACUCCCACAUUCUCCACUAAAACGUUCAUUGACAUAUUGAAAAUUUUUAUAUUACAAACACCUGUUAUCCAAUACGUGUUUGUAAUUAUAGAUACACUACAAAGUAUAAAUUAUAUAUAUUUUUAUAUUUUAAUUUGUACGAGCAAUAUUAUAAUAAAUACAAUUUCAAAGAAAAGUAAAGUUAC